GAUGAACGCUAGCUACAGGCUUAACACAUGCAAGUCGAGGGGUAACGAGAGGGAAGCUUGCUUUCCUUGUCGACGACCGGCGCACGGGUGAGUAACGCGUAUCCAACCUGCCCCCAACUAGGGAAUAACCUUGCGAAAGUAAGACUAAUACCCUAUAAUUUCCUCAGAUGUCAUCUGACGAGGACUAAAGAUUCAUCGGUUGUGGAUGGGGAUGCAUCUGAUUAGCUUGUUGGCGGGGUAACGGCCCACCAAGGCAACGAUCAGUAGGGGCUCUGAGAGGAAGGUCCCCCACAUUGGAACUGAGACACGGUCCAAACUCCUACGGGAGGCAGCAGUGAGGAAUAUUGGUCAAUGGGCGGAAGCCUGAACCAGCCAAGUAGCGUGCAGGAUGACGGCCCUAUGGGUUGUAAACUGCUUUUAUACAGGAAUAAAGUUAGCCACGUGUGGUUAUUUGUAGGUACUGUAUGAAUAAGGACCGGCUAAUUCCGUGCCAGCAGCCGCCGUAA
RNAcentral lists this ribosomal RNA (506 nucleotides) under uncultured bacterium. RNAcentral's name for it is "partial 16S ribosomal RNA". It matches the Rfam family "Bacterial small subunit ribosomal RNA", at positions 28 to 523 of the family's 1533-position model. The record is from RNAcentral.